UUCCUCUUGCCCUGUAAUUGGUUGGUUCUGGACGACCGGCGGGGAUGGAAGCGGCCUCGGGUCGCGGGCGCCUGCGGUCGCCGCCGUGCAAGGUGCUGGCUGAGCAGCUGCGGCUCGGUGCGAGGAGGGACGGGCAGCCGUCGGCGUGGCUGCUGGAUCGGCCUGGCGGUCACCGGGCUCCGCUGGACGUGAGCGUGGUGUGGAUGCAGGGCACGGUGCUGGAGGUGCGGCCUGAGCACAACACCAGCCUCCAGCUCCUCGACGAGACGGGCUCGUUCACUGUGGUCGGGGCGGCCGGCGUCCCGCAGGGGAGACCCUGCACCAGCCGAGCUUUAAAGAGGAAGAAGAAGUUCAGCUUCAACAUUCUGAGGAAUGUGGAUAACCACAUUGGCAAUUAACUGGAUCACUUGUGACAAGAUCACAAAAGUCUACACAGACAUAAUAACAUCAUGGGGGAUGACCCUUUACAGAGAAGGUGCUGGAUUUGAACUCUGAGCUCCAACGCACUGAGCUGAAAUAGCAUUGCACCAACCGCUACGCUACUGUGGCGCAGAAGCUACAAGGGAGAUUGAAACAUCGAAGUGAAUGCAGAAGGUGAGCAUGGCUGCCUGCCUUUUGAUUGCUGAGGAUCGCUCUGCUACACUACCUGAGAGGGGAGAGCCCGCUGCUGGGCCUGGAGAAUGUUGCACAGCCUUUCUGCAUUUGGGAUGUGGAGUUGGACUAUAGACUUCUUUUUCGGUCUUAUUUUUUUUUCGUAUUUUGUGUUUUUUGCCCAACCUCCCUAAUUUUUUUGUAGGGUUGGGGAUUUGCGGGUCAAUGUGCCUGUCCCAUUUUGUUCACUUUUUUGUGGGAGGAGGUAUUUGGGGGUUGUUGUGCCUGUUCUAUUAUUGUUCACUUUUUUGCGGGAGGAGGUAUUUGGGGGUUGUUGUGCCUGUUCUAUUAUUGUUCGCAUUUUUGUGCAGGGAGGGAAGAUUUAGGGGCUGAUGUUUGUGCCUCCUUUUAUUUUCUUUAUUGGUUUCAUGCCUACCUGGAGAAGAAGAAUUUCAGAAUUGUAUACCUUGAUAAUAAAUAAAUGAACCUUUGUUGUUUUGUAACAGUGAUAUAGCACAAUACAUAACAAAUUACAAAUAAGAAAUAUAAAAUAAUAAACAAAUAAGUAGUGCUAAAAGAGAGCAAACGUUAGGUAGUGCUCAUGGGUUCAGAAAUGCGAUAACAGAAUGGAAGAAGCUAUUCCUGAAACGUUGAGUGUGUAUCUUCAGGCUCUUGUACCUCCUCCCUAAUGGUAGCAAUGAGAACAGGGGAUGUCCUGGAUGAUGAGAGAUCUUAAUGAUAGACACAAUAGAGAGAGAUGUUUAUUGUCUCAAAUUGCACAGACACAGACAAUUAAGAGUCAACCACAUGGCUGUAUCUGGUAUCACACAGAGGCCAGAACACGUAAGAAUUGCCACUUCCCUUUACUUAGGGAUACCAAUGAAUUAGAUGGGUUUUACAAAAAAAAAAACCAGUGGUUUCCCAGUUAUCAGUACUGAUACUAGUUUUUUUAUUUAACUGAUGCAUUUAUUUCAUUACUUGAAUCCUAGCUGCCUUAGUGGGAUUCAAACUCAUAAGUCUGGAUCAACAGCUGGGCUGUGAAUACCAAGUUCUCUCCCCUUGUUCUCUUAUUUCUGUUCACAAGUUCUGGUUCCCCUCUCACCCUUCUCUUCUCCUCACAUCUCCCUCCUCCUUCCCUUCUUUCAGUGGUCCAUUGUGCUCCCCUACAAGAUUCAUUCUUUUUCAGCCAUUUACCUUUUCCACAUCUUCUGCAUUCUUACUUCAUUCUCCCACUCCCCACCGAACCCACCCCUCUCCUGGUUUCACCUACCACCUGCCAAUAUGUACUCCUUACCCUUCCCUGAUCUUCUUAUUCUGGCUUUUUCCCUCUUCCUUUCCAGCCUUGGUGAGGGAUCUUGACAUGAAAUAUUGACUCUAUUUCUCUCCAUUGAUGCUGCCUGACUUGCUGUGUUUCUUCACCAUUUUGUGUGUGUUGCUGUGGAUUUCCAGCUUCUGCAGAAUCUUGUGUUUUUGGGCUGAGAAUCCAGUAACUUAACCACUAGGUAACUAAUGCAUGGUUAACCACUUCUCUGUGCCCAAUACAUGGUUAACCACUUCUCUGUACUGCAAUAACAUCCAUUCUUUUCAGCUAUUUUGGAGUUCAUGAUGUCCCUGUAUAAAUGUUUACAUUUUAUUGUUCAUUUUGUGCAGUGGUCAUUGCUUAUGAUAAAUAAAAUUAAAAUGUUUAAUCUUUGUAUAUUUUCUCUCAUUUUCCCUUCACUAUACCAAACCAUACAUUUGCUCCCAAUAACUGAAUGAUAACACUACAACAGCAAUAAUAAUAAUAUGUAAAAUUGUCAGUGGAAGCAAUGGGAGGAUUUAGCUGAGAAUGGAAGAGCGUGCCAAGUGUAAUUCCUCUUUUAUUUUAGAAUCAGAUUCAGAUUUAGUAUCACUGAUUUAUAUGACAUGAAAUGUAUUGUUUUGUGUCUGUAGUACAGUGGAA
Molecule: RNA transcript, 2533 nt
Organism: Hypanus sabinus (Atlantic stingray)
Lineage: Eukaryota; Metazoa; Chordata; Chondrichthyes; Myliobatiformes; Dasyatidae
Gene: rmi2
Gene name: RecQ mediated genome instability 2
Exons: 4
Source: RefSeq, a predicted model, not a curated record